GACGAACGCUGGCGGCGUGCUUAACACAUGCAAGUCGAACGGAAAGGCCCUGCUUUUGUGGGGUGCUCGAGUGGCGAACGGGUGAGUAACACGUGAGUAACCUGCCCUUGACUUUGGGAUAACUUCAGGAAACUGGGGCUAAUACCGGAUAGGAGCUCCUGCUGCAUGGUGGGGGUUGGAAAGUUUCGGCGGUUGGGGAUGGACUCGCGGCUUAUCAGCUUGUUGGUGGGGUAGUGGCUUACCAAGGCUUUGCCGGGUAGCCGGCCUGGGAGGGUGACCGGCCACAUUGGGACUGAGAUACGACCCAGACUCCUACGGGAGGCAACGGUGGGGAAUAUUGCACAAUGGGCGGAAGCCUGAUGCAGCAACGCCGCGUGCGGGAUGACGGCCUUCGGGUUGUAAACCGCUUUCGCCUGUGACGAAGCGUGAGUGACGGUAAUGGGUAAAGAAGCACCGGCUAACUACGUG
RNAcentral lists this ribosomal RNA (468 nucleotides) under uncultured bacterium. RNAcentral's name for it is "partial 16S ribosomal RNA". It matches the Rfam family "Bacterial small subunit ribosomal RNA", at positions 28 to 507 of the family's 1533-position model. The record is from RNAcentral.